AACGAACGCUGGCGGCACGUUUUAAGCAUGCAAGUCGAACGGCAGUGGGGGGCAACUCCCAUGAGAGUGGCGAACGGGUGAGUAACACGUAGGUGAUCUGCCCUGGGGAUGGGGAUAGCCUGUGGAAACACAGGGUAAUACCGAAUAAGCUGACGGGAUUUUGAUUCUGUUAGUAAAGGUGCUAAGGCACCGUCCUGGGAGGAGCCUGCGGCUGAUUAGCUAGUUGGUGGGGUAAAGGCCUACCAAGGCGACGAUCAGUAGCCGGCCUGA
RNAcentral lists this ribosomal RNA (270 nucleotides) under uncultured bacterium. RNAcentral describes it as "partial 16S ribosomal RNA". It matches the Rfam family "Bacterial small subunit ribosomal RNA", at positions 29 to 295 of the family's 1533-position model. The record is from RNAcentral.